AAAUCUCAUUUGCACAUUAGCACAAUAUUCCCAUUCAUUGCAAAAGUUUGCUUUUAGGCGAUCAGGCCUGAAACUUUCCGUUUUACUGGCAGUUUCUCAUUUUGUCACCAAAAGCCCCCCCAAACCAUUUUCCAUUUGUUCCUAAGAACUAGCAAAUGCACCGUUUGUUCUAAUUCCUUUUCGAUGAUUUUACUUUUAAUUUACCAGACAAUGAAAUUCUGCCAAAUCAUUCAGAAGCUCACUGUGGUUGUGGUUGGCUAAAUUCAAAUCUGAAUGUGAAAUUUGACCCUUUCUGAAAUCCCUUGUCUUUUACUGAGGCGAUUCCUUUCUCUCAAGGCUAUUUAAAAGAAAGCCUCCUUCCUUCCAAAGAGGAGAGAAGAGGAAAGCGAAGACAAUACUUGCGAGGCCGGGUGAGCUGCUGGAAAAUGCUCAUUUGACAGAUGAAGAAACUGAGGCGAACAGGGUGAAGUGACGUCCUCGGGGUCAAACAGCUAGGGAGGACUUCGCAUGCCUGGGGUAGACAUCCUCUUAACUCAUCUACAUAUUUGAGGCAAGCUGUUUAGCCCUCCUGCAGAAACAGUUUAUCUGGAUGUGGCUGCUGCUUGUGCUACAGCUUCUUGGAGUUACAGGUGGGAAUUGGGUGACGGUUGGACACCAAAGGAAGAAAGCAGCCUUGAAAAGGGCUUGGCAAGCCCUCACACCAGAGGACCAGGGCGCAGACAUUGAAAGGCAAGACCACCUGAACAAGACUCAGAGGCAAGUUCCUUCUGGGGUCCGAACUGAAGAUACCACUAUACCCGCUUUGCCUACUUUGGUGGUAUCGAACUCAAAUAAAUUGUGGAUUUGCUAAGUCUUACAUGAGGAUCUCUGCAGGCUACAGAUUAACCUAGGACACCACAUAUUCACAUUUUCUAUAUUGUUUUGUAUUUUUAUUUCUUGUGUUAAAUAUUUCCCAAUUACAUUUUAAUCUGAUUUGGGUUAGACUCAAGCAUUGAUGGCCUGGCUGUUUUUUUUAAACUCUUAUUCUCUGUUUAAGUAACAGCUUGAAGACAGAAGGGCAAAGGUCAGGCAAAUGGUUAAAUAACUUACCCAGGGUCACAUAGCUAUGGCUGACCCAGUUUUUGACAGCUCUGGCGUACCUUUCAAUGCAAAUGCAGGAAUCCAAGAGAAGGUGAACACAUUAGCUAGGCUAGACUUCAUGUUCAAGGCAUGAGAAGUCACAAGUUAAGUAUGAUUAAACAAAAGAACUGAACACCCUGGUCAUAUCUGAAAAUAUAUGAUUUCUCCCUCUAAAAAGAAAAGUAAAUACAUAGUUCCUCCUGAACCUCUAAUUAGCUCAUACCUCCCUCCCUCCACGAGAAGAGAGGGGGAGCCUGAAGGCUCUCUCUUGCUUCCACCAUUAAGUGGCAAGUUCCCACCUUCCAAACUCAGUUUCUUUUUCUAAAAAUGAGGAUGAUAAUACUUCCCUGUCUGCCUCCAAGGUUACAUGCUUUAAAAAUCUAUGAAGCUUUUCUGUGAUAUAUCUUAAAAAACACAUUACUUAUGCUACACAAAAUAAGUGUUUGGUAGCAAGUGUUAUGGUGACAUCCCCCUGUUGUCAGACAGAGCUCUUGGGUAGAUGGUGCAAAUCUCUCCCUCCUUAAGGGGUAGGGAGUAGAGAAGCUAGCAGCUUUGGUUUUGAACCCAUUGUACCUAUAGACCCAUAGUAUUUAGGGGGCAGAUUGUAGUCUAAUACCUCUUUCUCAGAGUCUUGGAGAACAAAAGAGCUCUUCUCAUGGGCUCUUUUGUUCUCCUCAAGGCAGGAAUCACAGUCUCCCUUGGAGAAGGGGGAUCAAGACUCCAGAGAUCUA
Molecule: long non-coding RNA, 1850 nt
Filed under: Monodelphis domestica (gray short-tailed opossum)
Lineage: Eukaryota; Metazoa; Chordata; Mammalia; Didelphimorphia; Didelphidae
Description: lncRNA (ENSMODG00000036166.2)
Source: RNAcentral